This 390-nucleotide ribosomal RNA is filed under the name uncultured bacterium. RNAcentral's name for it is "bacterial SSU rRNA". It matches the Rfam family "Bacterial small subunit ribosomal RNA", at positions 30 to 416 of the family's 1533-position model. The record is from RNAcentral.
AUUGAACGCUGGCGGCGUGCCUAACACAUGCAAGUCGAGCGGUAACAGGUGUAGCAAUACAUGCUGACGAGCGGCGGACGGGUGAGUAACGCUUGGGAAUCUGCCUAUUAGUGGGGGACAACCCGGGGAAACUCGGGCUAAUACCGCAUACGCUCUACGGAGGAAAGCGGGGGCUCCGUAAGGACCUCGCGCUGUUGGAGCGGCCGAUGUCGGAUUAGCUAGUUGGUGGGGUAAAGGCCCACCAAGGCGACGAUCCGUAGCUGGUCUGAGAGGAUGAUCAGCCACACUGGAACUGAGACACGGUCCAGACUCCUACGGGAGGCAGCAGUGGGGAAUUUUGGACAAUGGGGGCAACCCUGAUCCAGCCAUUCCGCGUGAGUGAAGAAGGCC